UGUUUUUUUUUGGUUUUGCAUUACCUUGAUUAGCCAUGCUAGCUAGUUGAGGUUGGUUGCCCGUAAAUAUGUCAGUGUUAGCGCCUUGUGACUGAACUUGCCAUGGGGCCCCCCUAAGAGUGUUUUGGUCAUAAGAACCUACAAAAAAAUGGGAGUGUAGGACAUAAGUAGAAUGUCAUCUUCAUCGUUGCGAAGUUGGCAACUGCUCUCUUCUUUUUGUUACCAUGCAUCAUACCUACGCUUGCAUACUGUUCUAGUAGUGGCAGCAACGGCCCUGCAGAGAUGAGUUGACUAUACUCUGCUGCAUCCCAAGGCGGUGUUUCUGGCCUUUGAGAACCCCAAGCAUCAGCGCCACCUUCGCGAUUCAUCCUUUCCGCGUCUAGAUUCUUUUCCGACAUGUUCCUCAAUCACUAGAUGAUCAAAAAGGCAUCAAUAAUCCACAAGAAUUUGUAUUCUUCUGCUGCUUGCACAUGGAAGAUAGGGAUGGCAAGCAACAGGUCAAAAUAGGUGGCAAUUGUCAUCAUACACAAGCGGCAACUGUCGUUACACACAAGUGGCAAUUAUUUUUCCCACCCUCUUCAUUCAAAAAAUCGUCCUUCCUGCCCUUUUUUAGGGAUUCCUACUCAUCCAUUUCAUACCCAACUACUUAAGUGCCUAAACUAGGCACCUAAGUUAACCUCAAACGUAGUACAUGGCAGAUCCGGUGUAUUCUGCCUGGCAAUUGUGAAUAUACACCGAACCAUGCAGUGUUCUACCCCUAUAGUAUGGACCCAGUACAAGAUCGGGAGAUUUUCAGCCUUAAGGAUGAGAGGGAAGGACGAGAUCGAGAAUUUUCACCUGGUUUUAGUUGAUCGUGUCUGGAGGGCUGGAUUAGAGUGGGCGGCUGGGGAUGGGAAGGGUUAGGGUGUGGUUUGGGGUCGGAGCGCCCUACGGAUCUGCCCUGGUUGCCAUGGCAACCAGGGAUGGCCGGCGAUGGAUGUCGGGGUUCGAGAGGUGGGGGACGAUGGCGGCGUACGAGAGAGGGGAUGGAUCGGAGGCGUGGAUCGGCUGGGUCGUGCGGGCAGCCGGUCUUCUGGCCCGGACGGGGCAGUGCGGGCGGGGUUGCCACACACCGGACGUGCGGGCCGUGCUUUUGUGCGCUCGGACAUGGUCGUGCGGGCCGAUCCCCGUCUAUGCCGCACGAGGCGUGCGGGCGGGUUCCUAUCGACGCCACACGUUUGGCAGUUAUUCGGACCCAUAUGUUUUUAAUUACGGAUUGAAAAGUAACAAGGUGUGAACACAUUAAUUUAGAGUUCUUUUUCAUUUUAAAAGCCAUAACUUUUGAAUCAAAUAUCGAAAUUAAGAUCCGCUUUCAUCCUUGAAACCCUUACGACGUGCUCUUCGAAACUAAAUCCCGCAUGGGUAUGUUUCGAUGAAUUAUUUUUUUGGGUGCAAUUUAGUACCUCGUUUUGUGCAACUGCCUAGUAGUCGAUGUGUAACUAGCUGACCGUGGAUGUGCAACAUUCCGCCUACCCCAUGGAUGUGCAGUUUUCACUGAUGUCACCUCCACCCCCUCAAACUACCCCUUCUAGUGAGAUGAGCAAUUUCGUCCGUUUGCUCGGGCCAACUGCCUAGUAAUUGACGUGCAACUUACCGCUCACCCAUGGAUGUGCUUUCACUAUUUACUGCAUCCGCCAACUUUCUAUUAGUGGUUGUGCAACUUUGGAUACUGCCACGGCCAACUGUCUAACAGUGAUUUGCAACUUUCUCCUAUACCCUAUGGAUGUGUAGUUUCCCUGCUAGCACACGGUCCAAACCACCCCUGCUAGUGAGAUUCGCAACUUUCGCACUCUGUCUAUAUGUAACUUUUCACAACCCUCAUGAAUGUCAAUUUUUUACCAUUCAACUGUCCUUACUUGUGAGAUGUGCAACUUCGUAUGUUGCCCUGGCCAACUACCUAGCAGAGUAUGUGCAACUCUGUUUGUUACCCCCGCUAAUUGAAAAUACAUGUCCACAAAAUAGGAAGGGGAAGGAGUUGCACAUUGACUAAUAGACAGUUGGCUUGAAUAAUAGACUAAGUUGCACAAAUCGCUUGCAGUGAAAAACUACGCAUCGAUUGGAGGAAGCUGUGGACCGUCACUGAGAUUGGUCUGACCGAUCUGUGCAAAAUGGCGGAAGCUGAUGACAUUCGCAAGUACACUCUUCUCAACCUCACGGCGAAGGACGUCAUCUGCUCUUGUCUAUCUCAAAAUCAGUUUAGGAAUGGCAUGCAUCUCGAUCAUGCAAAGCUCAUCUAGGACCGUCUCUCGGAGGUCUAUAAGGGUCAUCGAACUCGUCAUGAUCCUCGGCUCGAGGACUUUAAGGAGUCACUCAAAGCGAUGACUUCCGAACCAGAAUCAUCAUCUUCUACAUCAUGCCUUAUGGCAAAUGAUGCUAAGGUAAUUGAAUGCUAUCUAUCUAAAUCCAGUGAUGAUGAAUUUGGACCCAGCUAUGCAAAACUUGCUUUCCUUGUCACUAAACAACAGAAAGCUAUGGAAUAUAUUCAAAAACUGUUAGACAAAAGCGAUGACCUGUUGUACGCUAAAAUGACUCGAUCUCAGUCCUUAAUUGAAAACAUAAAAAAUCUUCAUAUUAAGUAUGAGGAGCUUGAAAGUCGUCAUGAAAUGCUCUCAACAACUCAUGAAGAACUCGAGAAAUGGAGAGCGGCUCAUGAAGAUCUUCAAAAGGAAAAUGAGUCACUUCGCGCUGAACAGAUCAGUUCAGCUCAGGAAGGAUUUGAACCACCAUGUCUUAAAUGCAUUGAGCGUGAUAACGCUACUCCUGUUGCUGAAUGUUCGACUGCUGCUACUGUUGCAAUAUCUUCAACUGUUGAUGUGGAAACUAACCCCUCUGCUGAGGACACCACUGCUAUUGCUGAUGAGAAUGCUAGGUUGAAGACACUGCUUGAAACAGGGAUGUACAAAAGUCUCAAAGGGCAUCAGACACUAUGUGACGUCCUCAAAAGGCAGAUCCUGAACCAAAACCCUAGGAAAGAGGGUGUUGGGUUCGUAAGGAAAAUGAAUGCUGAUGGCUCUUACUGAAAACCUGAGCAGUACCCCAAAACCACAUGGGUUGCUGCAAAGGAACCUUCAGCAGAUCCAUCCACUCUAUUUGGCUUCACUUGUGUUAACCCCGUUUUUAUUGAUGAAUCCUUUGAUGCAAACUAUAAACUAUUUAAGAAUCAGAAUGGUGAAGUGUUUGCCAGGUAUAUUGGUACUAACUGCAGGAAUGGACCGCCUAUGAAGAAGAUCUGGGUGCCGAAAAGAUGUUUGGAGAAUCUUCCUGUGAAUGUCAUCAUGACACCACAGGUGAAGAAGACAAACCCUAGACCACAGGCCUCAUACGGUCCAAAGGCUUCAUACAGACAGAGGACUCACCUGAGUCACACUAACGCAAAUGUUUUGCAGGGAAGCCAUACUCAGGCCUAUGAAUAUGAGCGCGGUUCAUCAAAUCGCCAUGUUCAUAAGACCAAGAACUAUUCUGCUUAUUCUUAUGAAUACUAUUGUCCACCUGCAAGACUUUUUGCUAGGGCUCCAAAGCUAAAGUUCUCAGAUGCUGCACUUAGACUUAUUGCUUCGAAGCCACCCCUGAAGAUGUGGGUGGCUAAGAAAGCUUAACUCUCUUUUGCAGGGAAAGGUCUCCAGCCAAAAACCAAAAUCGUCUAACACUAUUGCUGGGGACCUUAAACAUCUUGUAGGGCGCAAGAUCAAAUGCCCAAAUGGUCUUACUAUGUACUUUGUUUCUGAAUCGCUUGCAACUUGCCCUAUCAGUCCUAAUCUCGAUCUAAGCUUUAAUAAUCCACUGGUUCAUCAAAUGUUUUUGCUUCACAAUUCUCUUCGUGAAGCCUAUCCCCCUAACUGCACUGUAGGGUACGACACCAGCUGCUUCAGAAUGGAUUAUUGAUAGUGGGUGUACAAAUCACAUGACUGGCAAGCGAAGCCUUCUCAUGGACUCAACUUUACGUCCAUCAGACAAAAGUCACAUCACAUUUGCUGACACUGGUAAAAGCAAGGUAUUGGGUCUAGGUAGAGUUGCAAUCUCAAAGGAUCAACACAUGGAUAAAGUCAUGCUUGUUGAGUCCCUUGGUUUCAACUUAAUGUCUGUCUCAAUGCUUUGUGAUUUAAACAUGAUUGUGAUGUUUGGAAAAUAUCGUUGCCUUGUACUAAUGGAAUCUGACAAGUCUCUAGUGUUUGAAGGGUAUCGAAAAGAUGGUUUGUAUGUUGUAGAUUUCUCAGCAGGACCACAACUUGCAAUAUGUCUUCUAGCAAAAGCUUCUGAAUGCUGGCUCUGGCAUCGAAGGCUAGGGCAUGCUGGCAUGAGGAACCUCCACACCCUUGUAACGAAGAAGCAUGUCAUAGGCAUCGAGGGCGUCAAGUUCAAUAAGGAUCACUUAUGCGGUGCCUGUGAAGCAGGAAAUAUGACGACGACCAAGCAUCCCUCGAAGACAAUCAUGACAACGACUCAACCCUUCUAACUGCUACACAUGGAUCUUUUCGGUCCCACUCAUUACUCAACUCUUACUACUACUGCUUGUCUCUAUGGCUUUGUCAUUGUUGAUGAUUAUUUAAGAUAUACUUGGGUACAUAUAAUCCUUUACAAGACUGAAGUGCAGGAUGUCUUCAGACGCUUCGCCAAUCGAGCAAUGAACAACUAUGGCGCCAAGAUAAAGCACAUCAGAAGUGACAAUGGCACUGAAUUCAAGAACACUAGCCUUGAUACAUAUCUUGAUACUUUGGGCAUCACACAUGAAUUCUCAGCUCCGUACACGCCACAGCAGAAUGGCGUCGUCGAAUGCAAGAACAGAACACUUAUUGAGAUGGCUCGGAUGAUGCUUGAUGAAUACAAGACUCCAAGAAAAUUCUGGCCUGAAGCCAUUGACAUUGCAUGCCAUAUCAUCAACCGUGUUUAUCUUCACAAACUUCUGAACAAGACAUCCUAUGAGCUCCUUACUGGCAAGAAGCCAAAUGUCAGUUACUUCAGAGUAUUUGGCGCCAAGUGCUGGAUCAAGGAUCCACAUCACACUUCAAAAUUUGCACCAAAAGCACAUGAGGGUUUUAUGCUUGGAUAUGGAAAGGAUUCGCACUCCUAUAGAGUCUUCAAUCUCUUUCAUUACAAAGUGGGUGAAAUAGUGUAUGUGUGGUUCAAUGAAACUAACGGCUCACAAAGAGAGCACUUGCCAAAGUGCUAGAUGAAGUUCCAUCCAGUGAAUCAAUCAAACAUAUGGGAACUGGAGAAAUCAUACCUUCUGAAGCUCAACCUGAAGAAGAACUUAUCAUCUCCGCACCUGAUCAACCUGAAGACAAUGCUCAGCCUGAAGACAAUCCCUCUAACAAUGACAAUGAACAGCAAGAGCAAAAUCUUUGUCUUGUACAUCCUCGUGUUGCAAAUGAAGUGCAGAUUGAGAGAAUAAUCGUUAGCAUCAAUGCACCAGGUCCACUCACUCGUUCAAGGGCAACACAGCUAGCAAAUUUCUGUGGGCACUUUGCAUUCGUCUCAAUAACAGAACCCAAGAAAGUUGAAGAGGCCUUCAUGGAACCUGAAUGGAUUCAAGCUAUGCAAGAAGAGCUUCAACAGUUUGAGCUGAAUAAUGUAUGGGAACUGGUUAAGCGUCCUGAUCCUCGGAAGCACAAUAUAAUAGGCACCAAAUGGAUAUAUCGCAACAAGCAAGAUGAGCAUGGUCAAGUUGUCAGAAACAAAUCUCGUCUCAUUGCUCAAGGAUACACUCAGGUUGAAGGGAUUGACUUCGAUGAAACAUUUGCUCCUGUGGCUAGACUUGAAGCCAUACGCAUACUGCUGGCCUAUGCAAAUCAUCACAACAUACUUCUAUAUCAAAUGGAUGUGAAAAGCGCUUUUCUCAAUGGCAAGAUUGAAUAUGUUGCACAACCGCCUGGCUUUGAAGAUCCAAAACAUCCUGACAUGGUAUACAAGCUCAACAAGGCACCGUAUGGCCUCAAACAAGCCCCUCGGGCUUGGUAUGACACACUCAAAGACUUCCUGAAGAGCAAAGGCUUCAAAUCUGGUUCCCUCGAUCCCACUCUCUUCACGAAGACAUAUGAUGGUGAACUGUUUGUGUGCCAAAUAUAUGUGGAUGACAUUAUCUUCGGCUGCACCAAUCAGAAAUACAGUGAAGAGUUUGGAUAUAUGAUGCAAGAGCAAUAUCAGAUGUCCAUGAUGGGUGAGCUGAAGUUCUUCCUUGGUCUUCAAAUACGUCAGCAACGCAACAGCAUCUUUAUAUCUCAAGAGAAGUAUCUCAAAGAUUGCCUGAAGAAGUUUGGUAUGCAAGACUGCAAAGGCUUCACGACGCCAAUGCCAGCCAAACAUCAUCUGGGUCCCGACGACAAUGGUAAAGAGUUCGAUCAAAAGGUAUACCGCUCCAUGAUUGGUUAUUUACUUUAUCUAUGUGCAUCUAGGCCAGAUAUUAUGCUUAGUGUUUGCAUGUGUGCUCGAUUCCAAGUGGCACCAAAGGAAUUGCAUCACUUAGCUGUGAAGCGAAUUCUUUGAUAUUUGGCUUACACCCCAACUCUAGGAUUAUGGUAUCCAAAGGGCUCAGAGUUUGAUCUGGUUGGAUUCUCGGAUGCUGAUUAUACUGAUGACAAGGUGGAUCGCAAGUCUACAUCAGGCACAUGUCAUUUUCUGGAACGAUCACUUGUAUGUUGGUCUUCAAAGAAGCAGAACUGUGUAUCUCUCUCCACUGCUGAAUCUGAAUACAUUGCUGCUGGAUCUUGCUGCGCUCAGCUUCUGUGGAUGAAGCAAACACUCAAAGACUAUGGCAUUCAUCUGAAGCAAGUGCCACUCUACUGCGACAACGAAAGCGCCAUCAAGAUUGCCAACAAUCCAGUUCAGCACUCGAAGACAAAGCACAUUGAAAUUUGUCAUCACUUUCUCAGAGAUCAUGUUGUGAAGGAAGAUAUUGAUAUCAUACACGUCAACACUGAAGAGCAAUUGGCAGAUAUCUUCACCAAGCCCUUGGAUGAGAAGAGAUUUUGCAAGUUACGGUGUGAGCUAAAUAUCUUGGAAUCCUCAAAUGUCCUGUGAUCAGGCACACAUCCUAACACUUAUGCAUAUUGAUGACUUAGAUGCGCAACACACGAAGUAAAGUAUAUCUUCAAUCAAUGAAGACAUAUAUUCUAAGUGUGAAUACAUUAAUGUGGAAUUUGACUUCGGAGCGCCACGAUAAUUGUGCGCCGUGUCUGGGUCUAAUACUUCCUAUACGGUGGGUAACGCCACCACAAAAUUCGUCUGUUUGAAGUGUUUUACCCAUGGUGUUACAUUUGUUGUGUCUUCAAAUUUGGUUUGGCUUCAAUCUCAACAUGUCUUCAUGAUUAUCUUCAUUAUGUUGAUCAUAUAUAUAUAUAUAUAUAUAUAUAUAUAUAUAUAUAUAUAUACUAGUGUUCUGUCCUCUACAGCAUUCACUUAUAGCUAUGUCUUCUUGUUGAAUCUUUUGAACUAAGUGAAUGUGAUCGGACCCUAACCUCUUUAUGCUUUCUAUCUUAAACUCUAUCUCUCCAAAUCAUAUGCAUUCUAUUGAAACUGUCGAAUGUCUUCUCUGCGUCCUUGUUAGGAGAGGAUACAGAGACAAACAUUAAGUCCGUUUUCAAUGCUAAUUCCUUCACCUGAAACCCGGAGAAGUGGGAACGACCACCCGACAAUCCAGGCGUGUGUGGGAACAUGGAACAACCUCCGAUAUGUUGCAUGAUGGCCACGUGUUCUUCAGAUGUGAAUCGCCAGGGGCACCUGUGUAAUAACGUUGUGUCGUCCCUGUCCCUAUAAAUACACGCCUCACCACAGUUAUUAUCCCUUCUUCCACUCUCGCACGAACCCUAGCGCCACCGCUAGCCCUCGACGACGCCGACGACGAAGUGCUUAGCUGCCGCGACCUCUCCGACGCCGUCUUCACGCCGGCCGCGGACAUCGUCUUCUCCGCCGUCGCCGUAGGUGUCCUCCGUCGCCAAGUUAGGGCACGGACGAUCGAACUGCUCGGCCUCCUCUUCCACUCCGUCUAGCAGUUCCUUGUGUGGUAAAUAAAACUUCCUUUUUAUGGCCCCUUUGAUCAUAUAGAUUCGUCACUUUUUACCACAAGCAGUUUCUGUUCACACAUGUUGGAUACACUUCAUACUGCAUCUCAUAUUAUGCCUAGUAUGUUCACUUAUGCUUCACAAAGUAGUUAGAUUCCUCACUUGUACUGAUCCGUGGAUUCGUACAAAUCUAGAACCAACUCCUUAUCUAUGAGUGAAUGUCUUCGCACGAUGAGGUCAAUGUCUUCUAAACUGAUUUAUCUUCAAAAUCUUCUGAGAAUGCAUAUGACCUCUUCCCCUUCCCUCGCACCUUAAUGUUGUCACAGGUACAUGUCCGUGGGAGAAUCCCUUGGUUCUCAUAGUCUGCAUUCAUUUGCAGAAUUCUUACAACAUCAUAUAAAUUCUCCCGAACCUAGUUCCUGUUUGUCCAGCAAGCGAAAGCCCUUGAAGCCUUUGAACGUAUUGAAGCCAUUCAGUUUAAAGUUCAUGGCUGCAGAGAAAUCAGCAAGGAAGGGUGGCAGAAAGCGUCGAGGUGAAACGUCAAGAGAUCUGCCCGAUGACCUCUCAGAACUGUACAAGAUAGACCCAGAAGAGUAUUACAAUCAGCGCAAGACACGAAUCCAAUGGAUUCGAUGAUAUUGGGCAGAACAGUGGUUCAAGUACAGGUUUGUGACAAAGGAAUAUGCUGAGAAAAAUGCCAUCAAGCGACCAUGGGGAGACAUCCUAUACAGAAAUCUUCAACCCAGGUCCAGAGAUGAAGCCAUUGAACAAGGCUUCUAUCCCUGCAUGGUCCGUGGACCACAGCCUGCGGAUGCUGACCCAUCGUCACUGCUAUGGUGUCGUGAUGACAAUCUGUUCAAGCGCAACUUCCAGUUUGCCCAGAAUUCGGCGAAGCAGAAUAAGAAGUCAUUGGGACUAGACUUCAACCCCGGUCCCUCUGCUCCCCGUGCCGAUGGCACCCGCGAAGCUGAACCCAAUCUUGUUGGGCCCUUCUACAACCCGGAUGGCCUCCUCACUCACAUCUCAGUUCAAGGUGCCAAAGUGGAUCAUUCUGAUGAUGAGGCUGACACUGAUGAAGCCCCAGCUCCUACUCCAAAGCCACAGAAGCCAAAGCUGCCUAAAGCUUCAAAGCCUGCCUCAGCACCAAAAAUCUCAUGGGCGAAGCCACUGGCUACUGCACCUCCUGAAGACAGUGUGCAGUCUGAAGAUCUGUCAAGCAUCUCCAAGCCUCCGAGAGUCUAGAUGCCUUUGCCAUAUACCAGCCAAGAACUGUCUGCUGCUACUAUUCCGCGCAACGAUGCCAUUGAUCUGUCCAGUGAUAAAGAUCUUGCAGAUGACGCUCUUGAGCAACUGAUCAAGAGCAAAGAAGAAGCAGAAAUUUUCAACAAUUUGCCUCUCUUUGACGUGGCAAUCAUCCACGACUUCAUCGAUGAGUGGUUUGACACGUCCAACCUCAGCUUUGAAGAUCUGCAACUUCCCAUUGGCCUCAGUGUUGCCUUCCAUGGCGCCAUUGCUUCAGAGUUAGUUAUAGCCCAGCGCAUCGUUGAACUGAAGCAGAAGUUUGACUUUGAGAAAGCUCAGUUCAAGAAGCAUAUGGCCAAGCUCAGCGUGCAAGAGGUCAAGAACUUCAAGAUCAUGCUACACGAGCUCAAAGAAGCCUUUCUCAAGAAGCGUGAAGAAGCUCAAGGUUCUUGUGAGCGCAUGAAGAGCCUGGCUGACAAGUAUGUGCAAGCCUACAAUGAGGCUGAGAAGCGCAAGGCCCUUGGGCGUCCUGGCAUCAACCCCAGGAUGGCUGCAAAGCAGCAGCAACAGAAGAAGAAGAAGUCCGCUAUGGCCGAACCCGACGCACCAAGGCAGGAAGCACAUCCCAUUGUCUUCCCAAUCAGGAUGACUGGCUCGAAGCCAAAAGCCAGGUCUACCGCUUCAGAACUGAAGAAGACGAGGUCUGCUGAGGCUGAAGCCAGAAAAAGGAAACAUCUUGAAGCCUCUGUUGCUGCUCCCUCCAAGAAGAAGCGGAAAACCAAGAAGGAACGGGCUGCUCCCACAAAGCCCUUAAUUGUUGAACCUAUCUCCAUGGUUCGCCCUGCCGCUGAACAUCAAGAGUGCCAACUGACUGUCCAUGAGCCUGCUUUCACAGAGGCUCAUGAAGCUGAAGACAUUCCAGCAGCUGAUCCCACCGCUGCUGAAGACAUUGGUCACCAUGACAAUGUUGACGAUGAUGUAGUUCUUCCUCUGAUCGAGCACCAACAGGUAUCAUCGCCUGUGCUUACGCACAACGAACUCAUCAGCAUUGGUCAUCCUCUGACGCUAAUUGCUCGGGAUGCAUCAUGGGAUGAUCACCCACAACAACAAGUCACACCACCCCGGCAAGAAGAAGAAGAUAACUUUGAGGCCCAGCCAACUCCAUCUCCAAAGGCGUCGCUAGUGUUACGCAGGCUUCGCAAAGGACCAAGGUCUCAAGUCUCCGAGUCUGAGGCUAAAACCGCUGAAGACAUUCCGGCUGCAUCAGCCGAUGACACCCAAGAAGAAGAACGUGUCCCUACUCCCCCAACUACUGAAGAAGCUAUUCUCGAGGAGAACAUGUCUGUGCCCGACCCUCCAGCUCAUCAAGUGGAGGUAGAAAAUCUUGAGGCUGCCACCACCAACACCAAUGAAGCCACUGACGUUGUCAUGGCUGAAGCAAAUGUGGAGCCUACACCAACCCAAGAACCAGAAGUCAGCGAAGCCAAUGAUGCUACUGCUUCUAUUCCUGCGCCUGCUGCUGGUCCUCAGUUUGACUAUCAUAUUGAGCAUAGGCCUCAGGUACAGAAGCCAAUGCCAAGGUUGCCCAGGUUUCCAGGUCCUGGAAUAGCACCUGGAUCCUUUAAUGUCAACGGCUUCAAAGCAGACAACACCUUCUUCAAUAGCUCCAAGAACCCCUACUCAAGGGAACGAAUAUCUUCUGAUCGGUUCUGGAGCUAUCCGCAGCGAAGCUAUUACUCCUACAUUCUGUAUAAUCAAGGUCGCAUCUUUCCACAUAUGCGUCUUGACACCGAAGCAAUAGCUGGUCUGCCCUGUUUGGAAGAAGCUCUGGAUUGCUUCAAAGAGGUUGGAUUGUUGCCUUUCAUCACCGACCAAGAGCACUGGAACGAAGAGUUGCUGCUCCAAUUUUAUGCCACACUUCACAUACGUGGUUACAACAGAGAUCCGAAGACUUAGGUCCUUGAGUGGAUGACAGGAAAUGUUCAUCACGAAGCCAAAGCCUUUGAUAUCAUUGAGCUCACUGGUCUGCCCACUCCUGGAGAUCUCUAUGAACCUGGCUGUCAGCUUCACAGUGAAGCUAUGGAGAGCAUCUUUCAGAAGCCUGAACCGAACAUGAGUCAGAUACUCAGUAUGAUCAAGCCUUUGCCACAAGACGCUGCAUAUCCUAAGGAGUUCUUUGUUGAAGACCUGGAGUAUCUGCCAAGGACCAUCUAUCAUAUUAUAAGGCGAACUCUCUGGCCCAUCAAAGGACAUUCUCCACAUGCAAAGCUGGAAGGUGCAAUGAAGACUUUGGUCUUCUAUAUUCUUGAUGGCAAAUGCUUCAAUGCACAAGACUUCUUCAUCCGCCAACUUGCUGCAUCAGGAUCUGAUCUUUUUGGCUUGAAGUUCUACGCUUCAUGGAUAAUGCGGCUGAUUAAACUCCACUCAGCUAUCUCAUAUCAGCCAUCUGCUCGCAAUCAUCGGAUCUUUCUGCCUGAUGUGGAUAUGUCCGUUGAAGCCAUUUAUCCAGAGCCUGCCAAGGAACCUCUUAGUCUUUAGAAUGCGGAACAUCAAAGUUUCACUCAGAACAUUGAAGGAGUUGAAGCAGUCACUCAUGUUUAUCCUCUGGCUGGUACUACACGUGCACCUCAUCGUGCUCUUACUGAAGCAAAUCAAAGCACUAUUGCCCAACGACCCAAGAAGCGAUCUCGUGUUCUGAAUGACCGAGAGCUUCUGGUUGCUCUUCAUCAGAAACAUGAUAGGCAUCAUGACUGGCUGAAGUGCCAAAUGCAAAGUCUCUUGGUGGAUGUCAACCGCAUUCGCAAUCUUGCCACCAAGAAUGCCUUUGUUGCCCAUGAAACCUGUCGGCGUACAUGGAAAGGGCUGACGCUUAUGUGUUUUGAGGAUGAUCUUCAAGAGGAUGGCUUCUCUGAACGUUUCAAGUUUGACUCCACACCUCCCCAAAGGGCUGUGCUGCGACGAACUUCAUCUCUUGAAGACUCUGAGUUCUCUUCCUCUGCAGCAACUAUGAAUGCCAGAGUGAUCGAGGACGAAGAUGAUGCCACUUCACCGCCCCCUACUUAUGCACGCCUCGACACUACCCCAAGUUCUUCUGCACCGCCGAACACCAGCGAUGACCCUGCUGCUUCACCUACUCUUCAUGGAAACAAGUAGAUGCUCUAUGUCUUCCAACCUUUUUGGUCCUCACUGACAAAAGGGGGAGAAGCAUAUGAGUUUGAUAGUCUUCAAGCGGGUCCAUAUGGGCGGUUACCUUAUGUUUUGCCUAGUGUUUACAACUCUCAUUUUGACACAUUUGGUUCUUUGAGUUGUAACACUUAAACUCGACGGUCGUCUGCUACUUAUUUGCUAUUUUGUGAUGCGAUGAUAAAUCUGGCAUGUGCGACGAUAAAUUCCGCACUUAGAUCAUUUUGCAGACGUCCAUUUUUCAUUAUGCAUGUCAUUAUCUUCACAUGCCUUUCAUGCAUGAUGAAUUGUCAUCAUAAGUUGAAGAGGAUCUCCACAAGUACAACCUGCCAUGUGCAUUUGCAUUCCAAAACCAAAUUACUUAUAUGCACAUCUUCAGGGGGAGCCCUUGCAAUUUAUGAAGACAAUUCCUUAUCCUUUACAAUUUCACAUAUUAUAUUCCCCGUUGAAAACUUCAACUAGUUUGUUAUCAAUCACCAAAAAAGGGGAGAUUGUAAGUGCAUCUAGUGCCACCCCUAGUUGGUUUUGGAGUAUUGACGACAAACCUAGUUGAGGGACUAAUGUGUUUGUGAGAAUUGCAGGAUAACACAGGUAGAAGUCCCUCAUUGAUUCGGUUUUCCUACCAGAGAUGACCCCUAAAAAUGUAUGAAGACAUUGAAGUCAAAGGUGGUAAGUGAAGACAUUCACCUUGAAGACUAUGACAAGAGAAGACAUUGCAUGAAGACUAUGGAGCGCGAAGACUUAGAUCUUUCGUAGUUCUUUUUCUUCUUUGUUGAGUCAUAGGAACCACCGUACUGUUAAGUGGGGUCCAAGAAAACCAGUCAGAAUGACUAAAGUGAUGCUUAACCAAAAUCCUAUGUCUUCGAGUGAAGACUAUGAGAGGGAAUCUUGUUCAGAGUUGGACAAGUCAACUUUGUUUGUAGCCCAAGUAAAGUUGCCGUGUGUGUUUGAAAUCUGACCGUUGGAACACGUGUCAGUUCCUUAGUGACCCAGGGUCAUUUCGGACAAAUCAGGUCGGGUUGCCUAGUGGCUAUAAAUAGCCCACCCCCUACAACCAUAAAUGGUUGGCUGCUCAGAGUUAAAGUACGGCUUUUGUCGUUUGAGAGCAACCCACCUUGAAGCCUUUGAGAGAGAAUUCCUUGAGAGGAUAAAGCCCUAACCACCCAGAGCCAAACACUACUGGAAACAGGGAAUUUGUCAUAAGCCAGCUCUUUGCCAUCUGCCAACUGAUGGCAAAGAACGUCUUUGCCAUCUGCUUAUAAAAAACAGAUGGCAAAGAACUGACAGACGGCAAAGAACAUGAUUGCCAUCAACCAAUUCUUUGUCAUCUGCUAGUGGAUGGCAAAUAAUCUUUGCCAUCUGCCAGCAGAUGGCAAAGAGGUUGGCAAAUCCUAUGGCCGUCAAAAGUGUAACGGCGUACCAGCCCCACCUCUUUGCCAUCUGCCAGCAGACGGCAAAGAUUCUUUGCCAUCUGCUGGCAGAUGGCAAAGAGAUGGGGUUAUUUUUUUCCAGGUAAAAAAACUGUGGGGUUAUCCCCUCCCUCUCUCCCCACCCAUCCAGGUAAAAAAAACUUCGCAUCUCAUCCGCACUGUCCCCGUCGAUGGCGCUCUAGGCUCGGCCGCCGCCACCCUGUCGCCAGCCCCGUCGCUCCCCCGCCCUGUCGCCGGCCGCGUCACUCCCCCGCCUCGUCGCCGUCGCUCCCCCGCACCGUCGCCGUCGCUCCCCCACCCCGUCGCCGGCCCUUCCCCGCCCCGUCGCCGGCCCUCACCCGCCACCCUGUCGCCGGCCCCGUCGCUCCCUGCUGCAGGCGACGCCGCCGCCGCCAUGUCCAAGUCGGGAGCCCUAGAUCUCGCAUCGGGCCUUGGCGGGAAGAUCGACAAGGAACAAGUCAAAUUGGCGGGAAGCUCGGGAUGUUUUCCGGCAAACGCCGGCAAUGCGCGCAGUAACUGCAGUGCGUGGGGCGGUUACGAGGCUAUCUCCUACCUCCCGUUUGUGGAUCCUCCAUUGUUGAGCUCAACCAAGCGGCGGCCAUACAUCCGGCGACCGGCGACAGGCGCGACUUGGAGCUCGGGCGACAUGGAGUCUUUUGACGCAACUGAUUAAUAGGUACGGAUCUGCUCUGUCCUUGAUGCCCAUUAGUGGCCAUUUAGUGCUAGGGUUUGUACAAAGAUCUGAUUUUUUUUCCUGCUGGCUAAAUGUGCAAGAAGUAGAACUCUGCUAGAGGACGUUCACCGGGAUGGAGCCUCUUCAUUAACCGGUGACGACGCCGCCGGUGUGCGAGUUGCCGGCCAGGACAGCAUCAAGUGCAGACGGGCAAGUCUGCACAGAGGGUGUUGGUCGAGAAGCAGGAAGUGCAGACAAGGGCCAAGCUUCAGAGCAGUCGAUUGAGCAGGUGGAUCCGAAAACACCUGGGUGGACGCAAAGGUAUGCUCUUAGUCAGUGGCUCAGUGCCUUGCCUAUAUGAUUAAAUCUAGAAUAUAGACAUACAUUCAGGAAAAAAUAAUACUAGAAUCAGAUUUGACUGUAUGGUGAUAGUUCACUGUAUGUACAUAGCCCCUGUCAGUAAAUGAUUUUUUCUACAAACUACUUAGAACCUGCAUAUGCUCUUCGUCAGUGCGUUGCAAUUAUGAUUAAAUCUAGAUUGUAGAGAUACAUUUAGUGGAAAAAAAGAUUAGACUCAGAUUUGACUGUAUGGCCAUAGUUGACUGCAUGUACAUAUCCUUGUCGCGCUAGGCAGAGACCCAUGGAAAAAAAGAUGCAUUCAGUUAAUGAUUUUGUCCAUAAACUACUUAGAACCUGCCUACAUAUGCAAUGACAAAUCCAUAGUCUUGAACUCGUUGUGAUCUGCUGCGACACAUACACCCAUUUUAAUUGUCAAACUAUAAAAAGGGGAUUUGAUUCUGUGGAUAUGUUUUCAUGGCAUUGCAGAGUGCGUGUUGGGGCUGCCGCACUAGGUAGAGUCCCAAGCCCUGAUAGGAUUUCACCACUGGAGAGAGCAAUUCGGUGUUUUGCAGAGGAGCCUAGCGAGAUUGUCAUUGCGAAGAUAGGCACGAGUUUUGACACUCUUGGUGAGGCAUAUGAUUUCUACAAUCUGUACUAUUGGGAAAAAGAUUUUGGCAUCAGAUAUGGAAAGAGCAGACUAAAUGUGAACUGAACAAAAUGCAUGUGAGAGAUCGUGUGCGGCUGCGCGGUACUGUUAAUUUGAAGCUCUUCCUGUAGUUAGUUAUUUGCCUGUCUGAAAUUGGUGUUAGAAAAAUCUGAAUUUUAUUGAUUGAAAUUUUUACAAGGAAAACCAAUAGUUGAGAACACUCGAUCGUGUCGCUGCCAUGGUCACCGGCCUCUGCGUUCUGUCGCGCCUGCAACGUUGAUGAAAGGUGAAGGAGAUGGAAAUUUCAGAGAGGAAAACGUAAAAAAUAUUUAGGCAUGACUUUACCACUACAAAAAUGUUCAGUCACCGCCCUCGUGCCAAUUCUUGUGUGCUUUAUCCAUGAAACAGUCCAUGCUUCCCCAAAAUUCAUGCAUUUGAAGCUUCGAACUGAGGCUUAGUUCAUUUAGGGAAAUGAAUUGUAGACGUAUUUUUAAAUUUAUGUUUAGUACUAGAAUUUUGUGAGUGUGAAGUGGCUGAACUGAUGUUUCAAAUUCAUAAUCUUCAUUGCAAGUACAUGAACUGAUGUUUUUUCCCGCAUAUUGCUCAAUUUAUACUAUGCCUUUAAUUUACUAGAUGAACUGCACACCUCAACGCAGCACUAAUGCAAAGAUUCUGCAUCUUGGUCGGCUGCUCGCGGCGGGGCUUGUGUCUGGUGCUUGAGACAGUGGCAGAGCAGUGCCCGCGAGCGCGGCGCAAGCAGUGGCCCCUGCUAUGUGGGCUGAUGCAAGCGCGGCGCAAGCACUUCAAGUCUGACAAUGUCCACUCUACAAGGUACAUGGGCACUCGUGCAAAGAUCUAACAUCUUCAUCGACUAGUACUAAGGUAUGUGUUUUCUUCUGCCCGUGUGAUGUGGUGAUUAUUUGUUCUGCAUAUGUUUGUAUAUGUUAGUCAGUAUUUUGGAGAUAUGAGAUGGUUUGCCAGAUAAGAAAUAGAACAAGAACAAGCAGGAGCUUUAGUUGGGCCAUGUCAUUGUGAACUUGGAGCACAAAAAUGUAUAGGAAGUGGUCGUCGUAAAACUGGGUGCUUAAGAUCUACUAAACUAUAACAUUUUUUUAGUCUUAAGUAAAGCAAUUACUUUCUGGGUCAUAUUUAAUUUGUCUAUGUUAAUAAUUUCUUGCGUGAAUAGAUGGGCCAAGCCAAGCAGGCCAUCAACCAACUACUCGUGCUUUGCUUUAUUUUAUUUUAUUUUAUUAUUUGUGUUCUUAAUCUUGGUUUUCACUGGUGUGUGCUCUGUCCUCUCAGGUUAGAUUUGAAUUUGUUGUCAUAGAAAAAAUAUUUCUAUCGCCUUUAAUAAUAUAGGUAAUCCAGUUAUGUAUGCAAGAUCCUCAGUGAGGAUUAUUUUUUUCCGAAUCACUUAUCCCUGAGCAGCAUCUGCAUCCUUCUGCCUUAGCCUGAUCAAUUUUUCCCACUAUACAAUUUUGUUUUUUGUUUGCCAACAUAUUCGAACGAAGGUGUCUCCAUGUCAAGCAUGCAUCCAUUGAAAUUUGGUGUUAACCAAUUUUUGGAGGAUUGCAUCAAUGUUUCUCCAUAGGAUGUUUAUCUUUUCGGUCUUUUUGCUAAUGACAAUGUUUGGUUUGCCAGUGCCCAGUUGUGUAUAUUCUUGGACCUUUUACAUUUGAUAUCAACAAUUCAAAAGUUAACAUGGAUCUAGCCAUCUAGGUGAACUUCCAUUUAAUGUUAUCAAUUUUCUUGCAGCGAACUUGAAUGUUUUUGUUACUUUUGCUUGUACUUGAUAUCUUCCAGAGGCUAAUGUGUUGUGGAGUUUAGCUCUCAAUAUGGUGCCCAUAUUUUUACGGUUAAGGCAAGAGCUCUGCCAAUUCAUUGAAGUUGAGGGAAACUGUAUCAUUGUUGUCAGUGCACAUUCAGAGAUGUAUGAGUGGUUCCCAGCUUUGCUGAUGUCUUCCUUCGAGCUUAAUAAAAUUGUGUUGCAUACUUUUGGUUUGUGAGUUUUUUUUGGCAUUAUGGUGUUGCUGAGUUUAAUUGGGGUGGCUAUUUUUAGUAGCUUCUAAUUUCAAAAUCCAUGUAGCCCAACCGUGCAGGAGCCACACAAAGCUGCAUGGUGCUUUUGCUUUCUGAGUUAGUCGAACUAGUAAAUGCAGUACUGGUGAAGAUUGGUAGGUCCAACCGGUAGCUAACACUUAUUGGCUCAUAAGCUCCGUUAGCUCAGAAUCUAACCGAAGACGGCUCAUUCCAUCCAUGGGCUUCUGAUCCAUUUAAACGGUAACUGGCGGAGUUACCUGGACGCUAUGUGAUGUGUGGGCCACAAUCUGUUAAAAAAUACUGCAAUAGCAUAGUACGACUUUACCAGGACCUACAUGUUGCACGGAUCACGAUAUAACCUAGUGGUGCAGAUUCCGGGCUCACUGCAGCUCGAGCUCACAUAAGCACUUUCGUGUAGAUACUUCCAAUUUUGAAUCUCUGACUUACUAAAGAAAUAUAAUUUAUUACCAACAUAAUACUCCCUCUGUUUUUAUAUACUCCGCAUAUUAGCUUUGGUCAAAGUCAAACUAUGUAAACUAUGAUAAAGUUUCUAGACAAAUAUGUUAACAUAUACAAUAAAAAAUCAAUACAAUUAGAUUCAUUAUUGAAUAUACUUUCACAUCAUAUAGAUUUGUUAUUGUAAAUGUUCAUAUUUUUUCCUAUAAACUUGGUCAAACUCUAAAAUGACAUAAUAUGCUUAAGAAAUGACAUAUUUUAGCUCCUAAAUGACUUCACAUGCUUAGCUAGCUCCAAAAUGACAUAAUAACCUUACUUAGCUCUAGAAUGACCUUAGCAUGUUUUACACCAAAAUGACUUAGUAUGCUUAGCUAGCUCAAAAAUGACAUAAGAACCAUACUUAGCUCCAAAAUGACCUAUUUUAUAGAUAUAAGUUGCAUCAUAAUAAUCUUCACAUUUUAGUUGCAUCAUAAUAAUCUUCUUCUUCUAGACUUCUUCUUCUAACUUUCUUCUUUCCCAUUUUACAGAUUUGCUUAAGAUCACGUAAGCUUGGGUUGAUGGAGUGCUUGUAUUUAGUUUUUGUUUUGACCUUGUGAAACUUGCUACCUAUGGAUGAAACUGUGUAAUAUUGAUGAAACUAUGUAUAUGUACGGAUGAAACUUGCUACUAUUGGUAACAUGUGUUGGAUAUAUAUGUGUUCAUGACUAUUGGUAAUAUGUGUUGAAUAUGCUAUAUUGGUCAUAUAAAUAUAUUUGUGUUUGAUUUUCUAUGAAAAUGAAUUGAUAUAAGAAAAAACAAAAUUAAAUAGGGCAUUAUAGUCACUUUGCCAUCUGCUGGCAGAUAGCAAAGUAUGCCGUUAGCCAUCUAACGGGGCUAACCCCGUUAAGAGGCUUUGCCAUCUGCCAGCUGAUGGCAAAGGCACAGGCUCUUUGCCAUCAGCCAGCAGACGGCAAAGAAGCCUUUACCGGCAGGGUUUCAGACAAACUGUUUACCAUCUGCUGGCAGAUGGCAAAGCCUUUGCCAUCCGCCGACCAUGCCUUUGCCAUCUGCCAGCUGAUGGCAAAGGCACAGGCUCUUUGCCAUCAGCCAGCAGACGGCAAAGAAGCCUUUACCGGCAGGGUUUCAGACAAACUGUUUACCAUCUGCUGGCAGAUGGCAAAGCCUUUGCCAUCCGCCGACCAUGCCUUUGCCAUCUGCCAUGGCAGAUGGCAAAGUGCCAGAUUCCAGUAGUGAAAGAGUGUUAGGCAUCACUUAAGUCUUCUUGUCUGUGUGAUCUGAAGACUUAUUACACUUGAGGACUGUGAAUCCUCCAGCCGGUUAGGCGUCGCGUUCUGAGCAUCCAAGAGUCAUUGUGGAUCGCCGGUGAACGAAGUCUAUGAAGGUUUGGAAGUUUACCUUGAAGACUUACCAGAGUGAUUGAGCAAGGUCUGUGUGACCUUAGCUCAAGGGGAAUACAGAGAGGACUAAGUGUUCUGAGCUGUGUGCUCAGGACUAAGUGUCCGAGACUGAGUGUCCUCAGGUUUAAAUACCUAUCCGCCCUAACCAGACGUACAACUAUCACAGCAGUUGGAACUGGUCUACCAAACCUUUGUCUUCGUCACGCACACUGGUUCUAUCCUUCUCAUCUCUUUAUUUACAGUUGGCUCUUGUAAAGUCAGUACCUAUUUGCUUUAUCUAUUUGUCUUCACUGUGUACCUGAUCCUUACUGCCUGGCUACUAUUAGUCAGUGUGGUUUCACUUCAUUGAAUGCUUGACUAUUGUCUGUCUAGUGUAGUCUAUCUUCCGCUGCAUGGAAAUAGGUUCAUUUCUAUCAUUUGUCUUCGAAACUUCCAUGUUUUGAAGACUUUCAUAAAAAUCGCCUAUUCACCCCCCUCUAGUCGAUAUAACACACUUUCAGGUCUAAUGGAUGGGUAAGCAUCAUCGUUGUCCCUACUACAUCCUCUCCUUUAUCAUCUCGGUCAACUGCUCCCGAACCACCCAAAUCGCUCUCAAAGUAGGAGGAAUCUAUAUUCAACUUGUAGCUCUUGGAGGUUUCUUCCUUAUCAUUUCAUGUGGUUUAGAAGAUCUUGUUCUGAUGUUGAACUUUAACGGUAUUGCAUGAAUCGUAAAAGUAGAACUCGGAGCUGGUGCAACAUACUCGCACUUGACAGCCUGGCGCCACUGCCACGAGAUAAAGAAAGCCUGACUGCGACCGUCUCCUUCAAGUGCUUCAUACCUAGGAUUGGUGACUUUCCACAACCCCGGAUCAGUUCCUCAAGGGUGACCGAUCCCGAUUUGUCAACAACAAGUGCUUUGUCAAUGAUCUCCCAAAGACCCAAAGAACACCACGCUUCUUUUGCUCACUGGCACGUAAACAUUAGAUGUCGCAUAUCCUCAGCCCCUCCCAUACAGAUCGGACAUUGGGGGUUAACCUACUCAAAUGUAACACCCCCAUUAAGCUUUACUGAAUAAUUUGCAGUUGUGACACAUCUCAUAAUCAUCGAAAUCCAUCCCUGGGCAAAGCCAAAGGGUGCCAACAUAAAAUAGGGCUUCCUUUAGUUUAUUGGAUAGUAAUAUCACAUUAAUAGGGAAGUUAUAGGAAAUAAAAUAACAUGUAUCUCAAAUGCUAUAAUAAAAGAGAUGUUAUUUGGUUCAUAAGAUAUGAUUUUUUUCCACUACAUUUGAGUAGUAUUCUUGUUUCCUCAAUUUUUCAUUCAGUUCGCAAGACACCAUAUUGUUUUGUAAAAUUUAUAUGAGUAAGUUUCAACUCGAUGCCUAUUUGCGUGGGUUUUUUCGAUUUAUUUUUGAAACUUGGAAAUAUUUUAUCGCAAAUACAAAAAAGCUUUGAGUAUCAUUUCAUUGCUAAAAGAGUUAGGGUACAAUAAGUACAUAAGGCAUCACACAAGCAUGUGUGACUGCCAGCACUAAAAGAACAAAGGGGUGCGCGGCCCCGAAAAACAAUCGCCUACAUUCGGGGGUCAGAUGUGCUAGUCCUAAAGCUCCCGAACGAACCCAAGAGCAAGCUUCCUCCUUGAUGAUUCGGAUCAGCCACUAUGAUGAAGACGUAGCCAUUGUGGUGCUUACAAAUGCGCCAUGAAGUAAGGAUGAGGAGGGUGGCAAGUCCGGGUCGAAGACAAGUGAGCACGCCAAGAACAGUAGAUGAGAGCCAGUCUAAGAAGUCAUUGUCGUGGCGGGGAAGGGUUGCAGUGGAUCGGCACCAUAGGGAGCACCAGAGAAAAGUUGGAAAUAUAUAUUUGGCUAAGUUUCAGAGCGUGGAUACGCUGAAACUCAAGAUCAUCCUAGUGUUUUGUCGUUGGGAUGAACCAUAGUCCUUGGUGAAAAAAAGCAUAGGCCUUAGUGAGAUUUAAAGUUUUCUCACAUCAAAGAAUGCAAGGUAAUGAUGAAUCUAAUUUUCUAUUAAAAAGAGCAAAAAAAUCCAAACAACCUUGCACAUGUGUAUCCACCGCACACCAUAGACAAACUGGCUCUAGGAAGGGAGCACAAAAAGUAUGCAUGAUUAGAUUUCAUGGAGGACUGGUGGGGAACGAACUUGGCAAAAUUAUAACAGGCUAUGGGCAAUACGAGACUUUAAAAUAUGAGAAAUUUGAAAAAAUAUUCUCAAAAGAAAGAUAACAUCGUAAGAAUCAACAAAUGUCAUGAUCAAUGGCAUGGGCAAGAAUUUAAGAAUCAAUCUGAAUCUGCAUUCGCAAGAUUCUUCAGCUCUACGCUUCCUGGAGUGCUUUCUUGCAGGCUUCAGCUUCCUUCCCUCCUUGAGCUUAACCUUCUUUAUCGCCACAUGUUCUCCCAAUUGGGAUGCGCCUCGAACUUCAUCUAACAAUGAAUCAAUGUGAAGGGCUUGCUCUCCAUUCUAUAGUACAUCGUGGUUGCACGUCCGGGCUAUACAAUGACGUGAUCAUCAAGUUGCAACAUUGAGUGAAUAAAUAAAUUGACCAACACCUGGAGAAAUAAGAAGCAAAACUUACGAUCUCCAUGAUUGACGCUUCUAGUGGCUACCUUGUCUCCACUUGUACAAUCGCACUUCAAAACUUUAUGAUGGAGUUUGAAAUGGUAUGCAACCGAUGGAGUAGCAACUUCGCACUGCGAUCGUUUAUCACAUCCAAAUGUCGCGGGGUGCUUGUACUCAUGAAACCAAAAAUGCACAUGUUGUCAAAUUUUGGUACCUGUUUUCUUCAUGCCUACAAACCCCGCGCUUGUGGCCAACCACGCGUCGCACAACAAUGCGUCCUCCCUCACAGAGUAACCCCGACAUCAUGCUUACUCCAUGUUAAACAAGGAGAAAGUCAAAAAAAUCUCAAUAGCAUUUGACCGAACACUUGUCAGGUGUGGUGUCCGCCAUGAACAGCGUCGGAAGGGGGCGCACAAUACCUGGACACGAACGGGUAAGGGGAUGCAAAGAUGGCAAAGUACAAGGCACCUAGGUGGAGCAGCGGUGGUCCGACUAGAACUGGGCGGCGGCCAAAGUAGAUCAAGGGGGGGAAGGGACUGAGGCUGUGUUUGGUUCAGCUUUUUUUACCAACUUCUGCUUUGAAAAGCCAAAAGCUAACCAAAUGGGUAAAUGUUCAAAGCAGCUUUUGAGAAUCUGUAGCUUCUUCCUAGUGUAAAUUUCAAAGCUGGAGGUACCCCAACUUUUCAGCUUCCAGCUUUUUCACAGCAGCUUUUCCACAGCAGCUUUUUCACAGCAGCUUUUUUAGAAUCUGCAGCUCAACCAAACACAGCCUGAGUGGAGGAAAAGAGCUCCGAGAUGGGGUUUUGUGUGGGACAGGUGUUCGGUGUUCUACAGGGCGGCUGUCUGGACUCUCUCAAAUGCCAGCUUUACUUCCAGUUUGAUGAAAUCCGGAUGUGUGGAUUGCUCCAUUAACAUUUGAGGACGGCGUUGAACCGCUCAACGUGUCUCGACGUUUACGAGCGAUUUGAGGACGGCAUUGGAAUGACCUCCUUGGCUUCCUCAACAACUUCCCUUGACACACGGGCCGUUCUCAGAUCAUGUUCUCGUUUUGAUUAAACCUUCAUUCAGUAGGUCAAACUCCUUCGUAUUAGAAAAAUACUUUGCCAUGUGCACCAACUCUUAGCUGAGCCUCCCAGCACCGAACAACCCAGAAAAUAUCUUGCCUUCACAUGGAAGGCUCAUGGAAGCUGCCUAACAUAUGAAUAUACAAAUCCGCUACACUAAAUGUCUCAUCUUGCGUUUGAACAGACUAACCAGCAAAUUACUAGUGUUUGGUCUACGUAUGUUAUAUGGUCCAAGGCCGGUUCAGCCAAUGCGACAACAAGAGGACAAAAUAAACACCCGCUCGUUCUCAGAUUACCUGCACGCGAGCACAGCUCUUCAUCAAACGCCAAAUAACAGAAACUGUCGCAUACACGAACCGGUGACUAAUUCGAUGACUGUUCUGGAACAAAAGAAAUAAAGAUUUGCAGCAGCAAAAUGACUGUCCUGGAACUAGCACGACAGACAGCAACAUCUUCACACAGAUUC
This 23518-nucleotide long non-coding RNA is filed under the name Triticum aestivum (bread wheat). RNAcentral describes it as "long non-coding RNA (TAES_LNC025496)". Lineage: Eukaryota; Viridiplantae; Streptophyta; Magnoliopsida; Poales; Poaceae. The record is from RNAcentral.